Molecule: long non-coding RNA, 1197 nt
Organism: Passer domesticus (house sparrow)
Lineage: Eukaryota; Metazoa; Chordata; Aves; Passeriformes; Passeridae
Exons: 4
Source: RefSeq, a predicted model, not a curated record
UACAUUCCCCGGUCUUCUCCAUCAGGGCCCACCGUCACCAGGAGGAAGUACAACUCUGACAUAGGAGCUUUUCUCAUACACACACCAUUGGGCUGUGUGGCAAUGCAGGACUGGGCAAAUUAUAUCCCAUGAGACUUGGAAAGAAAACAAUGGUCCAAAGCUGCCUAAAUGCUCUGCACAUGUUGUGGGAGACUGAGACUGAAACUGGGUUACAAGUGCAGCUCCAAAGCAGAGCACUGGCUUCAUCUCAGGACCCUGUGACUCCUUAAAGUAAGACCCCCAGCAAGUGCAACAAGGGAAACCAAGACAGUGUAGCAGGAGCAGCACUCUUCACACCAGCCAGCAGUGGACUCUGGCACUGAAACAACAUGCUUAAGCUGCAGCACAGAGAAGGAUCCUCUAGAUUGGAGCAAAGCAGUUCGUGGAUAAUUUAACAUGGUAGUAUUCACACAAAAAUUCUGCAAGGACUUAAGGAGCACAGUCGCCUGUCCAAAAACACUGUAAAGUCAUCAGAAAGACUUUGACAUGGGAAAAGCACAGACAGGAUGGCGACCACCCCAAAUCUGACAGAGGAGAGAUCUGGUUAGCACAUCCUGAGCAGAUCAACACCGCUUGACAUAGGCAGGAAAAGGUAAAGAAGACAUACGAGAAAGAACUCUCUUCCACAUCCAUAUACAGGAGCUGAGGAAUUGCAAUCCUUUGCAAGAUGUUUCCCAGUUUUCCCUAGAGGAUGGUAUCAGUCUACAGUCUGGGCUACUAGAGGUUGCUCAGUCUGUGGAUUGUGCUCUGUUAAUCUCACUCUAAGUAAAAUAAAGUUCAUAUCCAUUGCACAAUUUUGUACCCCUGGGACAGACAUCACAUACUUAAUGCACUGUAUUUUAUCACUUUGCUUUUCAUUUUUUUCAUUUCAAAACUGGAAGCUCAGUACAAGAAGGUAAACAUUUUUAUGUUCAGAUCCAAAUUAACAGACAUAAAUGUAGUUCACAAGAAGGCAUCUCCAAGAAAGUUGGACUGCCAUAUUCCAUGGACAGGCACGGACACUUUGAGUUUCAUACCCAUGUUCCCAAACUCAAGCAGAUUGGGUGCUGGAUGUGGAAGGGCGUCCUGCCUGACGCCAGCUGCCACCUGACAAAGACUUAGGUCCCAACACAGGCUCUAUUUCAUAUCUGUCAGCAGAUGCUAAGUUAACUCACAACA